AGCAGCCGCGGUAAUUCCAGCUCCAAUAGCGUAUAUUAAAGUUGUUGCAGUUAAAAGCUCGUAGUUGAAUUUCGGGAUUGGCGCAUCGGUCGUGCCUCACGGGGUAUGAACUGGUGCAGUCAAUUUCUCACCUUCUGGAGAAUCGCGAUGCCCUUAAUUGGAUGCCGCGGGGAACCAGGACCUUUACUUUGAAAAAUUAGAGUGUUUAAAGCAGGCAUUUUUGCUUGAAUACAUUAGCAUGGAAUAAUAAAAUAGGACGGCAUGGUUCUAUUUUGUUGGUUUCUAGGACCACCGUAAUGAUUAAUAGGGAUAGUUGGGGGCAUUAGUAUUCAAUUGUCAGAGGUGAAAUUCUUGGAUUUAUUGAAGACUAACUACUGCGAAAGCAUUUGCCAAGGAUGUUUUCAUUAAUCUAAGAACGAAAGUUAGGGGAUCGAAGACGAUCAGACACCGUCGUAGUCUUAACCAUAAACCUAUGCCGACUAGGAAUCAGACGAUGUUAAUUUUUUAAUGUACUCG
RNAcentral lists this ribosomal RNA (516 nucleotides) under uncultured Entrophosporaceae. RNAcentral describes it as "SSU rRNA". It matches the Rfam family "Eukaryotic small subunit ribosomal RNA", at positions 569 to 1082 of the family's 1831-position model. Lineage: Eukaryota; Fungi; Glomeromycota; Glomeromycetes; Entrophosporales; Entrophosporaceae. The record is from RNAcentral.